This 2904-nucleotide ribosomal RNA is filed under the name Escherichia coli. RNAcentral's name for it is "23S ribosomal RNA". It matches the Rfam family "Bacterial large subunit ribosomal RNA". The record is from RNAcentral. Lineage: Bacteria; Pseudomonadati; Pseudomonadota; Gammaproteobacteria; Enterobacterales; Enterobacteriaceae.
GGUUAAGCGACUAAGCGUACACGGUGGAUGCCCUGGCAGUCAGAGGCGAUGAAGGACGUGCUAAUCUGCGAUAAGCGUCGGUAAGGUGAUAUGAACCGUUAUAACCGGCGAUUUCCGAAUGGGGAAACCCAGUGUGUUUCGACACACUAUCAUUAACUGAAUCCAUAGGUUAAUGAGGCGAACCGGGGGAACUGAAACAUCUAAGUACCCCGAGGAAAAGAAAUCAACCGAGAUUCCCCCAGUAGCGGCGAGCGAACGGGGAGGAGCCCAGAGCCUGAAUCAGUGUGUGUGUUAGUGGAAGCGUCUGGAAAGGCGCGCGAUACAGGGUGACAGCCCCGUACACAAAAAUGCACAUAUUGUGAGCUCGAUGAGUAGGGCGGGACACGUGGUAUCCUGUCUGAAUAUGGGGGGACCAUCCUCCAAGGCUAAAUACUCCUGACUGACCGAUAGUGAACCAGUACCGUGAGGGAAAGGCGAAAAGAACCCCGGCGAGGGGAGUGAAAAAGAACCUGAAACCGUGUACGUACAAGCAGUGGGAGCCUCUUUUAUGGGGUGACUGCGUACCUUUUGUAUAAUGGGUCAGCGACUUAUAUUCUGUAGCAAGGUUAACCGAAUAGGGGAGCCGAAGGGAAACCGAGUCUUAACUGGGCGUUAAGUUGCAGGGUAUAGACCCGAAACCCGGUGAUCUAGCCAUGGGCAGGUUGAAGGUUGGGUAACACUAACUGGAGGACCGAACCGACUAAUGUUGAAAAAUUAGCGGAUGACUUGUGGCUGGGGGUGAAAGGCCAAUCAAACCGGGAGAUAGCUGGUUCUCCCCGAAAGCUAUUUAGGUAGCGCCUCGUGAAUUCAUCUCCGGGGGUAGAGCACUGUUUCGGCAAGGGGGUCAUCCCGACUUACCAACCCGAUGCAAACUGCGAAUACCGGAGAAUGUUAUCACGGGAGACACACGGCGGGUGCUAACGUCCGUCGUGAAGAGGGAAACAACCCAGACCGCCAGCUAAGGUCCCAAAGUCAUGGUUAAGUGGGAAACGAUGUGGGAAGGCCCAGACAGCCAGGAUGUUGGCUUAGAAGCAGCCAUCAUUUAAAGAAAGCGUAAUAGCUCACUGGUCGAGUCGGCCUGCGCGGAAGAUGUAACGGGGCUAAACCAUGCACCGAAGCUGCGGCAGCGACGCUGAUGCGUUGUUGGGUAGGGGAGCGUUCUGUAAGCCUGUGAAGGUGUGCUGUGAGGCAUGCUGGAGGUAUCAGAAGUGCGAAUGCUGACAUAAGUAACGAUAAAGCGGGUGAAAAGCCCGCUCGCCGGAAGACCAAGGGUUCCUGUCCAACGUUAAUCGGGGCAGGGUGAGUCGACCCCUAAGGCGAGGCCGAAAGGCGUAGUCGAUGGGAAACAGGUUAAUAUUCCUGUACUUGGUGUUACUGCGAAGGGGGGACGGAGAAGGCUAUGUUGGCCGGGCGACGGUUGUCCCGGUUUAAGCGUGUAGGCUGGUUUUCCAGGCAAAUCCGGAAAAUCAAGGCUGAGGCGUGAUGACGAGGCACUACGGUGCUGAAGCAACAAAUGCCCUGCUUCCAGGAAAAGCCUCUAAGCAUCAGGUAACAUCAAAUCGUACCCCAAACCGACACAGGUGGUCAGGUAGAGAAUACCAAGGCGCUUGAGAGAACUCGGGUGAAGGAACUAGGCAAAAUGGUGCCGUAACUUCGGGAGAAGGCACGCUGAUAUGUAGGUGAAGUCCCUCGCGGAUGGAGCUGAAAUCAGUCGAAGAUACCAGCUGGCUGCAACUGUUUAUUAAAAACACAGCACUGUGCAAACACGAAAGUGGACGUAUACGGUGUGACGCCUGCCCGGUGCCGGAAGGUUAAUUGAUGGGGUCAGCGCAAGCGAAGCUCUUGAUCGAAGCCCCGGUAAACGGCGGCCGUAACUAUAACGGUCCUAAGGUAGCGAAAUUCCUUGUCGGGUAAGUUCCGACCUGCACGAAUGGCGUAAUGAUGGCCAGGCUGUCUCCACCCGAGACUCAGUGAAAUUGAACUCGCUGUGAAGAUGCAGUGUACCCGCGGCAAGACGGAAAGACCCCGUGAACCUUUACUAUAGCUUGACACUGAACAUUGAGCCUUGAUGUGUAGGAUAGGUGGGAGGCUUAGAAGUGUGGACGCCAGUCUGCAUGGAGCCGACCUUGAAAUACCACCCUUUAAUGUUUGAUGUUCUAACGUUGACCCGUAAUCCGGGUUGCGGACAGUGUCUGGUGGGUAGUUUGACUGGGGCGGUCUCCUCCUAAAGAGUAACGGAGGAGCACGAAGGUUGGCUAAUCCUGGUCGGACAUCAGGAGGUUAGUGCAAUGGCAUAAGCCAGCUUGACUGCGAGCGUGACGGCGCGAGCAGGUGCGAAAGCAGGUCAUAGUGAUCCGGUGGUUCUGAAUGGAAGGGCCAUCGCUCAACGGAUAAAAGGUACUCCGGGGAUAACAGGCUGAUACCGCCCAAGAGUUCAUAUCGACGGCGGUGUUUGGCACCUCGAUGUCGGCUCAUCACAUCCUGGGGCUGAAGUAGGUCCCAAGGGUAUGGCUGUUCGCCAUUUAAAGUGGUACGCGAGCUGGGUUUAGAACGUCGUGAGACAGUUCGGUCCCUAUCUGCCGUGGGCGCUGGAGAACUGAGGGGGGCUGCUCCUAGUACGAGAGGACCGGAGUGGACGCAUCACUGGUGUUCGGGUUGUCAUGCCAAUGGCACUGCCCGGUAGCUAAAUGCGGAAGAGAUAAGUGCUGAAAGCAUCUAAGCACGAAACUUGCCCCGAGAUGAGUUCUCCCUGACCCUUUAAGGGUCCUGAAGGAACGUUGAAGACGACGACGUUGAUAGGCCGGGUGUGUAAGCGCAGCGAUGCGUUGAGCUAACCGGUACUAAUGAACCGUGAGGCUUAACCUU